UCUAUAGACAGUUGAAAUCGUUUCUAGGAUUUAGAAGCUUGCAAAGAAGCAAAACAAAUGGAACAAUUACAGUUGACCUUUGAACACAAGAGUCUGAACUACACAGGUCCACUUGUCAGCAUAUUUUUUUCAACAAUAAAUACUACAGUACUACACGAUCCACAGUUGGCUGGAUCCAUGAAUAUGGAACCAGGGAUACCAGAGGAACCGCAGAUUCAGAGGAGCCUUGGAUGAGGAGGAACCGGGGAUAUGGAGGGCCAACUAUAAACUGUACAUGGAUUUUCACCUGUGAGGAGGAUUUUGAGACCUAAAUGCAAAGUUCAUUCUAAGUGUUAAUAUGUUGAAACAACGGUUAUUUAUUUGGAGCCCUGAAUGAAUUGCCAUCUGGAGAAGUCACCAAGCAGCUUUCCUUGAGCUCUGGGCUUGCCAAAAACACUACUCGGGAAAACAAUUCAAAAAAACUUAAUAGGGCUUCCCUGGUGGCACAGUGGUUGAGAGUCCGCCUGCCGAUGCAGGGGAUACGGGUUCGUGCCCCGGUCCAGGAAGAUCCCACAUGCCGCAGAGCAGCUAGGCCCGUGAGCCAUGGCCGCUGAGCCUGCGUUCCGCAACGGGAGAGGCCACAACAGUGAGAGGCCCGUGUACCACCAAAAAAAAAAAAACUUAUUAAAAAAAUAA
This is a long non-coding RNA of Orcinus orca (killer whale), 675 nucleotides long. RefSeq lists it as uncharacterized. The record is from RefSeq and is a predicted model, not a curated record. The transcript has 2 exons. NCBI's taxonomy places the organism in Eukaryota, Metazoa, Chordata, Mammalia, Artiodactyla, Delphinidae.